This 497-nucleotide ribosomal RNA is filed under the name uncultured bacterium. RNAcentral's name for it is "partial 16S ribosomal RNA". It matches the Rfam family "Bacterial small subunit ribosomal RNA", at positions 28 to 507 of the family's 1533-position model. The record is from RNAcentral.
GAUGAACGCUGGCGGCGUGCCUAAUACAUGCAAGUCGAGCGAACGGACGAGAAGCUUGCUUCUCUGAUGUUAGCGGCGGACGGGUGAGUAACACGUGGAUAACCUACCUAUAAGACUGGGAUAAUUUCGGGAAACCGUAGCUAAUACCGGAUAAUAUUUUGAACCGCAUGGUUCAAAAGUGAAAGGCGGUCUUGCUGUCACUUAUAGAUGGAUCCGCGCUGCAUUAGCUAGUUGGUAAGGUAACGGCUUACCAAGGCAACGAUGCAUAGCCGACCUGAGAGGUGGAUCGGCCACACUGGAACUGAGACACGGUCCAGACUCCUACGGGAGGCAGCAGUAGGGAAUCUUCCGCAAUGGGCGAAAGCCUGACGGAGCAACGCCGCGUGAGGGAUGAAGGUCUUCGGAUCGUAAAACUCUGUUAUUAGGGAAGAACAUAUGUGUAAGUAACUGUGCACAUCUUGACGGUACCUAAUCAGAAAGCCACGGCUAACUACGUG